UCCGGCUUAUCACCGGCAGUUUCCUCAGAGUGCUCAGCAUAACCUGUUAGCAACAGAGGACGAGGGUUGCGCUCGUUGCGGGACUUAACCCAACACCUCACGGCACGAGCUGACGACAGCCAUGCACCACCUGCGCAGAAGUCCCUUGCGGGAGGUGCUCACUUUCGUGAGCAUUUCCUCUGCAUGUCAAACCCAGGUAAGGUUCUUCGCGUUGCCUCGAAUUAAACCACACGCUCCGCUGCUUGUGCGGGCCCCCGCCAAUUCCUUUGAGUUUUAACCUUGCGGUCGUAGUCCCCAGGCGGAGCACUUAUCGCGUUAGCUGCGCUACCGGAGGGGUCGAUACCCCCCACACCUAGCAUCCACCGUUUAGGGCGUGGACUAC
RNAcentral lists this unclassified non-coding RNA (382 nucleotides) under uncultured bacterium. RNAcentral's name for it is "contains 16S-23S intergenic spacer region". The record is from RNAcentral.